This is a long non-coding RNA of Athalia rosae (coleseed sawfly), 519 nucleotides long. RefSeq lists it as uncharacterized. The record is from RefSeq and is a predicted model, not a curated record. The transcript has 2 exons. Lineage: Eukaryota; Metazoa; Arthropoda; Insecta; Hymenoptera; Athaliidae.
CUACCGAUGCAAAGGCUCACGGACGGCCCGAGCUUUCCCUCCCCACUACUUGGUGCGCUGCAGUCGGUCACUCACCGCAUACGGGUCCCUGUAAAUGAUAUGCACGCACACAAUCGAUUCUCGCUGGCGCGCGGCGUACUGCGACAGAUUCGUUUCCCUUUAUUUUACAUGGCGGGUUCCUCACGGGUGAUUUGGAAAACUGCGAGUUAUGAGACCAGAAUUGCAAAUUAAUUAGUUCCAAAACUUCGAAUUAAAACUGGAAAUUAAAUUUUCAGUGAAAAAUGAUAUAUGUAAUUUUGAAUUCGAAUCAUAAUAUUAAAAAUCAGAAACGGGUUUUUAACUCAAAAAUUAAGAUUGAGGAGUUUCAAAAUAAAUUUCUUAUUCGAAUGACAGAACUAAAAAAUUGAAAAUUACUUUUUCAUUCGAAUGAUGUAAUUAAGGAUGCAGAUAAUAUUGUAUUACUUAGUUCUUAUUUUGACAGUAACAAUUGGGAAAUAAAAAAAAUUCACCUAGUGCUAA